UGGCUCAGGACGAACGCUGGCGGCGUGCUUAACACAUGCAAGUCGAACGAUGAAGCCUAGCUUUGCUAGGUGGAUUAGUGGCGAACGGGUGAGUAAUACGUGAGUGACCUACCUUUGACUCUGGGAUAAGCCUGGGAAACUGGGUCUAAUACCGGAUACGACCAAUCUCCGCAUGGGGUGUUGGUGGAAAGCGUUAUGGAGUGGUUUUAGAUGGGCUCACGGCCUAUCAGCUUGUUGGUGAGGUAAUGGCUUACCAAGGCGACGACGGGUAGCCGGCCUGAGAGGGUGACCGGCCACACUGGGACUGAGACACGGCCCAGACUCCUACGGGAGGCAGCAGUGGGGAAUAUUGCACAAUGGGCGCAAGCCUGAUGCAGCGACGCCGCGUGAGGGAUGACGGCCUUCGGGUUGUAAACCUCUGUUAGCAUCGAAGAAGCGAAAGUGACGGUAGGUGCAGAGAAAGCGCCGGCUAACUACGUGCCAGCAGCCGCGGUAAUACGUAGGGCGCGAGCGUUGUCCGGAAUUAUUGGGCGUAAAGAGCUUGUAGGCGGUUGGUCGCGUCUGCUGUGAAAGGCUGGGGCUUAACCCUGGUUUUGCAGUGGGUACGGGCUAACUAGAGUGCAGUAGGGGAGACUGGAAUUCCUGGUGUAGCGGUGGAAUGCGCAGAUAUCAGGAGGAACACCGAUGGCGAAGGCAGGUCUCUGGGCUGUAACUGACGCUGAGAAGCGAAAGCAUGGGGAGCGAACAGGAUUAGAUACCCUGGUAGUCCAUGCCGUAAACGUUGGGCACUAGGUGUGGGGGACAUUCCACGUUUUCCGCGCCGUAGCUAACGCAUUAAGUGCCCCGCCUGGGGAGUACGGCCGCAAGGCUAAAACUCAAAGAAAUUGACGGGGGCCCGCACAAGCGGCGGAGCAUGCGGAUUAAUUCGAUGCAACGCGAAGAACCUUACCAAGGCUUGACAUAUACUGGACUGCGUCAGAGAUGGCGUUUCCCUUCGGGGCUGGUAUACAGGUGGUGCAUGGUUGUCGUCAGCUCGUGUCGUGAGAUGUUGGGUUAAGUCCCGCAACGAGCGCAACCCUCGUUCUAUGUUGCCAGCACGUGAUGGUGGGGACUCAUAGGAGACUGCCGGGGUCAAACUCGGAGGAAGGUGGGGAUGACGUCAAAUCAUCAUGCCCCUUAUGUCUUGGGCUUCACGCAUGCUACAAUGGCCGGUACAGAGGGUUGCGAUACUGUGAGGUGGAGCUAAUCCCUAAAAAGCCGGUCUCAGUUCGGAUUGGGGUUCUGCAAACUCGACCCCAUGAAAGUCGGAGUCGCUAGUAAUCGCAGAUCAGCAAACGCUGCGGUGAAAUACGUUUCCCGGGCCCUUGUACACACCGCCCGUCA
This 1383-nucleotide ribosomal RNA is filed under the name uncultured bacterium. Its description in RNAcentral is "16S ribosomal RNA". It matches the Rfam family "Bacterial small subunit ribosomal RNA". The record is from RNAcentral.